UCUCCCGUGAGGGAGCAGUCUCGCCUGACACUUAUAACAGGCAACGGGGGUUGCGUUCGUUUCCCCACUUAAGGGAACAACUCAAGCCACGAACUGACGACGGCCAUGCAUCACCUGCCAUACACCCUCGAAGGCUUCCCCGCUUUCACGGGGCGUGCAGUAUGGUUUCUAGCCUUGGUAAGGUUCCUCGCUUAGCGACGAAUUAAGCCUCAUGAUCCACCGCUUGUGCGAGCCCCCGUCUAUUCCUUUGAGUUUUAAUCUUGCGAUCGUACUUCCCAGGCGGCCCGCUUAACGCGUUAGCUUCGCCUCAGAGAGGGUCGAUACUCCCUAAAGCUAGCGGGCAACGUUUAGGGCGUGGACUAC
RNAcentral lists this unclassified non-coding RNA (363 nucleotides) under uncultured bacterium. RNAcentral's name for it is "contains 16S-23S intergenic spacer region". The record is from RNAcentral.